GUGGGGAAUUUUGGACAAUGGGCGCAAGCCUGAUCCAGCAAUGCCGCGUGCAGGAAGAAGGCCUUCGGGUUGUAAACUGCUUUUGUACGGAACGAAACGGUCCUGGUUAAUACCUGGGGCUAAUGACGGUACCGUAAGAAUAAGCACCGGCUAACUACGUGCCAGCAGCCGCGGUAAUACGUAGGGUGCGAGCGUUAAUCGGAAUUACUGGGCGUAAAGCGUGCGCAGGCGGUGCUGUAAGACAGGCGUGAAAUCCCCGGGCUCAACCUGGGAAUUGCGCUUGUGACUGCAGUGCUGGAGUACGGCAGAGGGGGAUGGAAUUCCGCGUGUAGCAGUGAAAUGCGUAGAUAUGCGGAGGAACACCGAUGGCAAAGGCAGUCCCCUGGGCCUGUACUGACGCUCAUGCACGAAAGCGUGGGGAGCAAACAGGAUUAGAUACCCGUGUAGUCC
Molecule: ribosomal RNA, 450 nt
Filed under: uncultured bacterium
Lineage: Bacteria
Description: partial 16S ribosomal RNA
Rfam family: Bacterial small subunit ribosomal RNA
Source: RNAcentral